CCUACGGGAGGCAGCAGUGGGGAAUAUUGGGCAAUGGAGGCAACUCUUACCCAGCAAUGCCGCGUGAAUGAAGAAGGUCUUCGGAUUGUAAAGUUCUUUAAUUGGGGACGAAAAAAAUGACGGUACCCAAGGAAUAAGCCCCGGCUAACUACGUGCCAGCAGCCGCGGUAAUACGGAGGAUCCGAGCGUUAUCCGGAUUCAUUGGGUUUAAAGGUUGCGUAGGUUGUUUUAUAAGUUAGCGGUGAAAUACCGAUGCUCAACAUCGGGGCUGCCGCUAAUACUGUAGGACUAGAGAUCGGAUGCAGCAGGCGGAAUGUGUAGUGUAGCGGUGAAAUGCAUAGAUAUGACACAGAACACCGAUUGCGAAGGCAGCUUGCUAGGCCGGAUCUGACACUGAUGCACGAAAGCGUGGGGAUCGAACAGGAUUAGAUACCCCUGUAGUC
RNAcentral lists this ribosomal RNA (443 nucleotides) under uncultured bacterium. RNAcentral's name for it is "partial 16S ribosomal RNA". It matches the Rfam family "Bacterial small subunit ribosomal RNA", at positions 338 to 795 of the family's 1533-position model. The record is from RNAcentral.